AGAAAACUGUGAACAUGGCCUGUACUGUGAAGCGCACUGACUGGUCGAUAAGACUUGAAAAAAUUAUAUAAAUGCAACCCAUUUACAAUUUUUAACAGAAACAUAUGCCUGACCAAAGCAUUUUAGCAUACCAGCUAUACAACCAUUAGUCCAUGCUAGCACUGUAAAUUAUACAGAAUGACUGUAAUAUGCUUGCCAACUGAUACUGAGUACUCCAUUAUGAUGAGUGUCUCUUCUGCUGCUGUGCCCUUCUCUGGUCUCUGUAACAAAGAGUCAAGAAGCAUUGAUUAACAGACUUUCAGUCUUUGUAGAAAGGAAGCAAGUGCAAAAAAACAAGUAAAAUUAGAUAAAAGCAUGUAUAGAAUUCUGUUUAUUUAGAAGAGUGGCCAAACACGCCUAGCUGUACUCAAGUUCAGAUUCAUUAUUAAUGCUCUUCUAAUAACUCCACUAUUUCUUCAUUUUAUACAUAUAGAUAUAUGAUGGCAAAUAUUUUAAAAUUCUCUUAUGUAGUGCAAAAAUGCAUAAAGGACAACACUACUGUUAGGAAGUCUACAAUAGUGCUGUGCUUCUGGCCUGUCUGUGGUGCUGAUCAGAAAGAGUUGGUAAGGUUUGGGGUGAUCCAUCGCCUUUCUCGUGAUCAUCUUCACCGCAUGAGGGGAGAUCUUUGCAUGGAUCUCCAGCAAGAGAACAUUUAAUUUUAUAUUUCCACCAAACGUCUUGUUGACAGUCUUGUAGCCUAUUGAACCUUGAGCAGGUCUAUCAUCUUGACAACUUUAGUACUCAUGACAACUUUUUGGUCUUCCCAUGGUGAUGGAGAGGGCUUUAUAGAUAUAACGAGAUGAGAUCAGAAGUAUCUGUAAUUGAUUGAUUGCAAUCUGUAUGCAACAUGGGCACACAGCCAGUCUGUAGCAGACAGAAUUCUGGUUGUAUUGUAGGGAAUCAAUUUUUUAUUUCACUCAGUGACAUGCAAAUCAACUUAUAACUUAUAGCUAUUUUUUUAUUUUUCUAGAUUUUUGGUUGAUAUCCUGUCUUUCUCAAUUAAAAUGAAAUAACCAUAAACUAUUUUGGUUCUUUGUGAGUAGAUAAACUUAUCAGUUCAACAGGGGAUCAAAUACUUUUCCUCCAAACAUAUGUUCAUGGUAUCUCCUGAGACAUUAAAGUUUAAACUAUUUCAAUUCUGUUUGAACACAUUAGAGUCUUAAUGUCAGCCCCAAAAGUUGGUAGCUCAUUUUCCAGCACAGUCCUGACCUCUGUUUUCAGCAUGAUUCACCAAGUCCUCUCACACCGUGGAAAUUAUCUCAUUUCUAAAACCCUCGAAGCUGAAUCUAGCCUUGCCCAAGGGGUUGUACUCACAGUUUUUGUAUGGCAGGACCAAAAACAGUCUCUUUUCCCUCUGGGUCAAAAGAGGAUCUGCUCUUCACAAUUCACUACCUCCACAACAUACAGUAAUUACCUAAUUAGGAAAGCCAUGGAACCAGAAGCUGAAGAAAUAACACAAGAGGCCAGAAGUGGGAUGGGAUUUUUUUUAUUAUUUUAUGUCACCUGAUCUGCCCAGACAAGCAGUUUUUCUAUCUAG
Long non-coding RNA from Astatotilapia calliptera (eastern happy), 1576 nucleotides. Lineage: Eukaryota; Metazoa; Chordata; Actinopteri; Cichliformes; Cichlidae. The record is from Ensembl.